RNAcentral lists this ribosomal RNA (122 nucleotides) under Solanum lycopersicum (tomato). Lineage: Eukaryota; Viridiplantae; Streptophyta; Magnoliopsida; Solanales; Solanaceae. The record is from RNAcentral.
GGAUGCGAUCAUACCAUUACUAAUGCACCUGUUCGCAUCAGAACUACGAAGUUAAGUAUGCUUGGGCGAGAGUAGUACAAGGAUGGGUGACCCCCAACAAGGAAGUCCUAUUGUUGCAUCCU